AAAGAGCAGGGAAGUAGCUGGGAAGGGAGGCUGGGCUAGAUGGGGUCACAAGGCCUGUGUAGGCUUCAGGUAGGUGGGAGCUGCCCGCUUCAGGCCUCAGAAUCACUCUUGGAGUUAGAUAUUUAAGAAUCCUUCCUGCCUUGACAGCCAGUCUGUGAAAUGAUGGUGAGGUGGGCCCUUCUUCAUGGUGAGUGCAGAAUUCUGGGGAGACAUUGCCAAGGAAUUUUACUGGAAGACUCCAUGCCCUGGCCCAUUCCUUCGGUACAACUUUGAUGUGACUAAAGGGAAAAUCUUCAUUGAGUGGAUGAAAGGAGCAACUACCAACAUCUGCUACAAUGUACUGGAUCGAAAUGUCCAUGAGAAAAAGCUUGGAGAUAAAGUUGCUUUUUACUGCCAGGCGUGGUGGCGCACGCCUGUAAUUCCAGCUACUCAGGAGUCUGAGGCAGAAGAAUUGCCUGAACCCAGGAGGCGGAGGUUGCAGUGAGCCAAGAUCACGCCAUUUUACUCCAGCCUGGGCAACAAGAGCAAAACUCCAUCUUGGAAAAAAAAAAAAAAGCACACAUCUCUUGACCCAACA
RNAcentral lists this small RNA (577 nucleotides) under Pongo abelii (Sumatran orangutan). Its description in RNAcentral is "processed transcript". The record is from RNAcentral. Lineage: Eukaryota; Metazoa; Chordata; Mammalia; Primates; Hominidae.